RNAcentral lists this unclassified non-coding RNA (458 nucleotides) under Hevea brasiliensis (rubber tree). The record is from RNAcentral. Lineage: Eukaryota; Viridiplantae; Streptophyta; Magnoliopsida; Malpighiales; Euphorbiaceae.
GUGGCUGGCUUGCCUCUUCAUUUCAAUUUCCUUCGUGUCUCUCACUUAUGUGGUGGUGGGUCAGAAGUCAAGGUGGCUUGCUAUUUAUGCAACUGUAAUCGGUGGUUCAAUUAUGCUUACUACAAUUGGAUCCAUGUGUUAUUGCGUGAUUUUGCAUAGAAUGGAGGAGUCAAGAUUUAGAAGUAUAAGGAGGGAAAGUCGAUCCCGGUCAUACUCGAUGUCUAUGGUAUCAGAACAGGAGAUUUUGGACAGUGAAUAUAAGAGGAUGUAUGCACUGUAAGGACAUCAGGAUGGAGAGAAAUGGAUCGACUAGCUGACCUAUUAUUCUCGUUUAUAUUAUGAAAAUGGCUAUAUGAUGCUAAUGAAACUUUCUUGCAAGUUGAGGUAUUGCAUCACUGGAAUAAUAUAAAGAGGUCUUGCAUCUUCCUUGCCUUUGCUUUACUUCUGCAAGAAAGCUC